Molecule: ribosomal RNA, 456 nt
Filed under: uncultured bacterium
Lineage: Bacteria
Description: bacterial SSU rRNA
Rfam family: Bacterial small subunit ribosomal RNA
Source: RNAcentral
GACGAACGCUGGCGGCGCGCCUAACACAUGCAAGUCGAACGAGCGAGAGGGAGCUUGCUUCCUCAAUCGAGUGGCGAACGGGUGAGUAACGCGUGAGGAACCUGCCUCAAAGAGGGGGACAACAGUUGGAAACGACUGCUAAUACCGCAUAAGCCCACGACCCGGCAUCGGGUUGAGGGAAAAGGAGCAAUCCGCUUUGAGAUGGCCUCGCGUCCGAUUAGCUAGUUGGUGAGGUAAUGGCCCACCAAGGCAACGAUCGGUAGCCGGACUGAGAGGUUGAACGGCCACAUUGGGACUGAGACACGGCCCAGACUCCUACGGGAGGCAGCAGUGGGGAAUAUUGCACAAUGGGGGAAACCCUGAUGCAGCGACGCCGCGUGGAGGAAGAAGGUCUUCGGAUUGUAAACUCCUGUUGUUGAGGAAGAUAAUGACGGUACUCAACAAGGAAGUGACGGC